GGACGUGGCGGUUGACGG
This 18-nucleotide small RNA is filed under the name Arabidopsis thaliana (thale cress). RNAcentral's name for it is "Ath_wt_13931". Lineage: Eukaryota; Viridiplantae; Streptophyta; Magnoliopsida; Brassicales; Brassicaceae. The record is from RNAcentral.